RNAcentral lists this unclassified non-coding RNA (150 nucleotides) under uncultured Ascomycota. Its description in RNAcentral is "sequence contains ITS2". Lineage: Eukaryota; Fungi; Ascomycota. The record is from RNAcentral.
AAACUCUCAAGCUUCGCUUGGUAUUGGGAACCGCUCGCCAGAGCGGCCCCGCAACCUGUUGAGCGUGACACCGGGACUUCAAACGUAGCAGAAAACUUUCGUUUAGUCGGCCCCGGCGCCUCCGCCAUACAAAACCUCACAUCAUUUAAA